CUGCCUGCAGGCCUUGACCCCAAGUGUCAAAGUGGCCCUGUGACCAGGCACGGACGCAAUGUCCUGGAGCAGGGGAAGCUGUUCUCGAGGCCAGUGCUAAAUCUCCGAUCCGGUGGGCAGUUAGAAAAUGGGAAAUGCCACCCUUAAUUGCAGCCAACGUGCUUUAUGCACCUGCACCUUUCCUUCUGAUCUUUCCCACACGGAACAGCCUGAUUUAAAUGCACCAUUAGAGUGCAAUUCAAAAAAUGCACCCUGGCAAAGUCACACUCUGGUUCCAGAGCAUCGGGACAGGAAGUGAUAGCAGUCCAUCCUGGCAGCAGAAACCAGCCAUCAGGAGCUGGAAGCCCAGGGCCAGGCCCACAGGGCUGCUCCAUGUGGCAUGGCCCGCAGCUGCACAGGGUGCCUGGCUGAGCCACCGUAGAUAGACUUCCAGGUGACCACACUGUGCCCUCCAGCACUGCAGCCAGUCCAGCCCCACAGGUCAUGGACAGAAAGCUGAAGGGCCCUGCGUGGAGGAUCCGGAGUCCAUCAACACCCCGUCCUCUCUGCUGGGCCUGCCCCGUCAGGGGAACAACUAGCCUUGGGCUGAUGUGCCCCCGCCAUGAUGACGGCCCUGCCCCUGCUCCCCGGCACCUCUGCAUCCCCCACUGGACACUUGGCCGGCUCCUGAGAUCACCUUGAGGACAGAGACCACGCCUGUUUGUCUGAGCUCAAAGGUGUUGCUGCUUUCCUCUGUUCAACCCCCUUAGGCAGGUUCUAGCAGACCCCCCUCUUUGGGAGAAGAGACCCCAUCUCGGAGGUUGAGUCGUGACCCCAGGUCAUAGAGCACUGGUGGAGCAGGACUAGGCCCAGGUCUGCAGGACACAGGGGGGCCGCACUCCCCACCCCAGUUCAUCACCACACAGUCUCAGGUACGCCGCCCUCUCCUCCCA
Molecule: non-coding RNA, 932 nt
Organism: Ictidomys tridecemlineatus (thirteen-lined ground squirrel)
Lineage: Eukaryota; Metazoa; Chordata; Mammalia; Rodentia; Sciuridae
Source: RefSeq, a predicted model, not a curated record